This 13690-nucleotide long non-coding RNA is filed under the name Gossypium raimondii (Peruvian cotton). RNAcentral's name for it is "long non-coding RNA (GRAI_LNC000829)". Lineage: Eukaryota; Viridiplantae; Streptophyta; Magnoliopsida; Malvales; Malvaceae. The record is from RNAcentral.
GGAGGAGGAGCAGCAUCAGAUCUAGUUCGAGCAACGUUUGAGAUUACUCGUGAAGAUUUCAAAAAGUUAAGGGAAAGGGUGUUACCUAAACUACCAGAUAGUGGGAAAGAAAUGCAUCUAUCAACUUUUGUGCUUUCGUUUGCUUAUGUAACAACUUGCAUGGUGAAAGCUAGAGGAGGAGAUGGAGAUAGAAAAGUUGCUUUCGCAUUCACAGCUGAUUGCAGGCCACGAUUAAACCCUCCUGUCUCACAAAACUAUUUCGGAAACUGUAAUAGACCUAAAUUUGAAGUGGCGAAAGCAAGGGAUUUCCUUGAUGAAAACGGGUUUGUGUUUGCUGUUCAGAAAGCAAGUGGAAUGGUUAAAGAUUUAAUGGAGAGAUGGGUUCUUGAAGGAAUGGAAAAGAUUCUAUCAUAUAGUUUAGAUGUUCUUAAAGAAUCAUCUGAGUCAAACCUUCAAAUUAUAACUGUUGCAGGAUCGCCUCGAUUUGGUGUUUAUGGAACAGAUUUUGGAUGGGGCAAACCCCAUAAGGUGGUAAUUGUUUCCAUUGAUAAGAGUGGAGCUAUUUCCAUGGCAGAAAGUAGAGAUGGGAGCGGGGGGGUUGAAAUUGGUUUGGCUUUGAAUAAGCACGAGAUGAACAAUAUUUCUUGGUUGUUUCCAAGAUACGUUUAACGGGAGGGUUUAUUUUAAUUUAUUUUGUUGUUUUGUAAUGAUAUUUUAUUAAUAUUAUAUGAAAAUCAUGCUUCAUAUUAUGCUAUUUUUCAUUUAAGCAGAGGUUGAUUGCUCCACUUUAUGCUAUUUAAGCAGAAAGAAAACAUGUGGAGGUAGGGGUGUUUAAAAUUCGGGUAAAACUGAAAAAAUUCGGUUAAUCGACUGAAUUUGGUUAAUCGAUCGGUUAAUCGAAUUUUUUCGGUUGGGGUCAGUUAAUUAUUUUUUAAUUUUUCGAUUAACGGUUAAUUUGGUUCGAAACCUGUCAGUUAACCAAAUUUUUUCGGUUUAAUCGAAAAAAUUAAUAAAUAAAAUUAUAAUAUAUAAGUAGAUCCACUAUUCACCUAAACCCAAUCCAAACCCAAGUAUUCAACCCAACCCAAUUAUCCAACCCAACCCAAUUAUAAAAAUUACAAAUAAUUUAAUAAAUAAAAAUAAAAUUCUAAAACUAAAACUAAAACUAAAGUCUAAAAGUCUAAAAAUAAUUUAAUUAUGUAGUGAUUCAAUUCGGUUAAUUCGGUUAAUUCGGGUAAUCCGGUUAAUUCGGUUAAUUCGGGUAAUUCGGUUAAUUUUUAACCAAAAAUAAAAAAUAUAUAAUUUUCGGUUAAUUCGGUUAACCGACCGAAUUAACCGAAAAAAUUUAGGUUCGGUUAACAGUUAAAAAUUUUGAAAGGUUGGUUAAUUCGGUUAAUGUUAUUUUGGGUCGGUUAACCGAAUGAACACCCCUAUGUGGAGGUGGUUGAUUGCUUACCCCACUUUUAUCUAUUUGUCCAAAUAAUGCUUUAUUUGAUAUAUAUGUUAAGGAAAUUCCGAAAAACACUGAUGACUGAGAAGGGCCUUUAUUGGUUUCCACAAAAGCAUCGUACCAGCAUUAAUUAAGUGAUGGAGCCAUGUUAGCUGUAGGGGUGAAUUACCCAUAAAUGCCGGUAUGUUUGGAAAAUUACCUAAUUAGAUUAGUUUUCCUAAAAUUUAUCGGAUUAGGCCAAAUUUGGAGAGAGAGAACAAAAACGAGUGUUUUCCAUAAUGCCUACCCCGCACCCCAGCGGUCAAAUUAUAAUGGCUCCCCCCCCAACGACUAUUUCAACGAAAUUUUAACCCUCCGUCUUUAAUUGGACCAUACUUGAGAGAUGCGAGAUUUUUGCAUAUGGUCCCGUAUAGGUAGAGGGUGUCAAUUAGACCCCACACUUAUAAGCGCGUUGGUGAAAAGAUGGAGACCCGAGAUGCACACAUUCCAUCUUACUAUCACACUCGAGGAUGUGCAGUUACAGCUUGGGUUACAGGUGGAUGGCAGUUGUCGCAGCUAAUUAGAGAGAUGUCUGCGAGCAACUUUAUUGGUUUCCACAAAAGCAUCGUACAAGCAUUAAUUAAGUGAUGGAGCCAUGUUAGCUGCAGGGGUGAAUUACCCAUAAAUGCCGGUAUGUUUGGAAAAUUACCUAAUUAGAUUAGUUUUUCUAAAAUUUAUCGGAUUAGGCCAAAUUUGGAGAGAGAGAACAAAAACGAGUGUUUUCCAUAAUGCCUACCCCGCACCCCAGCGGUUAAAUUAUAAUGGCUCCCCCCCAACGACUAUUUCAAUAAAAUUUUAACCCUCUGUCUUUAAUCGGACCAUACUUGAGAGAUGCAAGAUUUUUUCAUAUGGCCCGUAUAGGUAGAGGGUGUAAAUUAGACCCCACACUUAUAAGCGCGUUGGUGAAAAGAUGGAGACCCGAGAUGCACACAUUCCAUCUUACUAUCACACUCGAGGAUGUGCAGUUACAGCUUGGGUUACAGGUGGAUGGCAGUUGUCGCAGCUAAUUAGAGAGAUGUCUGCGAGCAACUUUUGGAGAGGGUUUCGGACUCGAUUUAUGGAGCUUGGAUAGAUGUGAAUUGGAUGAAAAGAAAUUUUGUUGGGCUCAAUGCAAAGUCGAGUAAAGUUGAAAGAGUGUCAUAUUGAAGUUUGGUUUGGUAAAUUUUGAUGUUUGGCUAGUUAAUUAAGGAAACAAGACUAAAUCGUAAAAGAUGUAAAACUUAAUCUCUAUUGAUUGCUAUUAGCUAAAUGCGUGUUUAAUGUUUGUUUAAGGAUCUAAAUGGUAAUUAUACCCUUUUUAAGGUUAUUGGACGGUUAGUGGAGGAAAUUGAAUUAAAUAUAUGUGUUUUAUAAUAUUAAUUUCUUUAGUUUGAAGCUUGAUGAUGAAAUAGGACUAUUUUGUAAAGUGAUUUUGGAUAGUUUUUAAGUUUAGGAGCUAAAACAAUAAAAUAUUAAAUUUAGCAUGAAAUUCUUGUAAACUUUCAUUAAUUAUAGGUUGUAAAAGAGUAAAGAUGAAUUAGGCCUAAGGGUUUUGGGCUUAAUUUUGCAAAAAAAAAUUAAGUUUCAAUUUAGGGACUAAAGUGAAUAAAAGGUAAAAGUUCAGGGAAAAUUGCUAAGUAGUCCUCGGUGUGGUGUUAUAAUGAUGGAGAUAGUAUGAGAAUUGAGUUAAGGCCCGUGUGAGCUUAGUGAAUGAUUAAGAUACAAAUGACAUGUCAUUAGGAUUUAUCAAGCACUAUGUGCCAGUGAUUAUAUUGAUCAGGUACUAUGUAUCAGUGACCAUAUUAUUAGGUAUUGUGUAACAGCCCGGUUUAGACCCUAGUCGGACAGUGGUUUCAAGACCACAAAUUUGAGUUAGAAAUAUAUUUUAAUAUUAUUUUUGGUGUCUACAGCAUGUUAAUUUAUAUGUGUGAAAAUUUUGUGUGAAAAUUUUAUCGUUUGUAUGCUCAAUUUUAUAAAAAAAACUUAAUCGCGUAAAUUGUAAAAGUGGCAUUCUAAUUGUUAAAGUGCUUAAUUGCUUUGAGUAAUUAAUUAUGGAGUCCUUAAAAUGAAAUUUAGCCAUUGAAUACAUGAAUGGACGGUAAUGGCAUGCAUUAUAUGAUUUUAUUAUUAAAUCAUUAAGGUUAUAUUGGUAAAUGGAUAAUCAAAUGUAAUUAAAAUAAAACAAAAUAGGAAAUGGCCAUGCAUGUUCAUCUUUUGGCCAAAUAUUGAAGAGAAAAAGAACCAUUUGAAAGCUUUAAAGAUUCGGCACUUUGAAGCUUAAAUUGAGGUAUGGAUUUUGUUUGGUUUUCGAUAAUUUUUACUUUUUUGAGAUCGUUGCUUUGUAUAUUACCUAGCCCAUGCUUUAAUUUUCAAAAUUGAUGAUGAAUUUGAGAUUUUCCAUUGUUGAUAAUGUGAUGAAUUUGUUGUUUGAUGAUAAAAAAUAAAUCUUUAAUGUUUGAUUAUCAUGUCUAAUUAAGUGAUUCUUUGAUAAAAAUCCAAAUUAGGGAUUUAUUUGUGAAAUUUGAAAAUUUAGGGGUUUAAAUAUGAAAUAAAUGAAAUAUAUGAGCUGAUAGGGACCAUAGGAAGAUUCGGCUAAGGCAUGGUUUUGAUGAAUUUUGUGUAUUUAGUGUAUUUUUGUAUUAAUGACUAAAAUGUUAAAAAUGUGAAAUUUGGGGGCUAAAGUGUAAAUGCCCUAUUUAGGUGUUUAUGGAUUGAAUUAAAUGAGAUGUGUUAUUAAAUAGCCAAAUUUGAAUUUAUUUAGAUCAAGAAAAGAGAAAGUCGGAUUUGGAUCGAGGAAAAUCGAAGGUUGUCGAAUAGUCGUUUCGAUCCGUUCCUGUCCGUACGACGUAAGUUUGUAAGUAAAUAAAUGUAGUUAAAUUUGAAUGUAUAUGUGUUAUAAAUGCCGAAUUGAAUUUUAAUGAAUAUAUAUGUACAUGCCAAAUUAUUUUUAAGUAUGGGAGAAUUGUUUACGAGCUUAAUUCAAUUGAAUUACGGCAUCCGAAAGCGUGUACGAACCAUAGGAUUCCGAUAUGUGAUAUCGUGUAAGACCACGUCUGGGACGUUGACAUCGAUUUGAUAUUUACGUGUAAGACCAUGUCUGGGACAUUGGCAUCAUAUAUAAUUUCGUGUAAGACCCUGUCUGGGACAGUGGCAUCGUUAUUUGAUUACAUGUAAGACCACGUUUAGGACGUUGGCAUUGUACAAGCUUUUUGAGCUAUCCGAGUAUUCUUUUUUAUUCCAAAUGGUUUAACGGGAAAUGAUACAACAAAAUCGAAUGUGAGUUUGAAUUAAACGAUCCAGAUGUGUUUGAGUUAUAUGAAGUGUGGAAGUAUAGGUAAGUAUUGUGGUAUAACAUGAAAAUGUGAGCUAAUUGCUUAAAUAUGAUUAUAUAUAUGUGUGUUCAAGAUUGGGAGUAUUCGACCUACUUGUAUGAAUUAUAAAUGUUCUUUGGUAAACUAUUUGCUUAUGACUUACUAAGCUAUUUAAGCUUACUGUGUGAUUGCUCGUUCGUUGUUUUAUAGAUUUUGGAAGCUAGUUACGAGCUUGGGGAUUGUCAAAGAAAUCCCUCACACUAUCGAACGAUAUUUUUGUAUUUUUAAAACUUGAAUUAUGAACUUAUGGCAUGUAUAGGCUAGCAUUUGUUUUGAUUGGCCUUGAAUUUUGUAUAUGUGUUUGGCCAUGUGAAAAUGGCUUGAUUAUAAUAUUAUGGCUUGUGUGUAUGUGGUAUGACUUAUACUUAUUUUGGAGGUAUGUUUUAUGUUUUACAUGCUUGAAGGGUUUGGUUUUAUGAUUCGACAAUGAGUAAUAAAAAGUAUGAUGAACAAUCGACCAACAAAUUAGCUCAUAUGGAAAUGUGUUUUUUGGUAUAACUUGUGUAGUAGAUGGAUGUGUAUUUGAAUCGUGGUGCAUGUAUCUAUAAGCUAUGUGAUGACUUUGCUAUAAAACGAUAAAUUGGUAUUUGGUGUGGCUUAUUAUUGACUUAUUUUGGAUGUACAAUUUGUUUAAUGAAUUGGCUUGAAGGUGGUAAAUGAUGUGUAUGCAUUUUCGGUCUUAUAUGUAGCAUAUUUAAGAAGUAUGAUAUGUGGUUAUUUUGUGUGUUAUAUGAUGGCAUGAUUCAAAAUGAAUAAAUAGGUAAGAAGACAGAAAGAUGAGUAUAUCAUUGAUGGUGUAAUGGUUAUUCGGCUGCAAUUUGAAAUGGUAAUUAACUACAUGUUUUAAAAUGGUUUGGUUUGAUCAUUUGAGGCUAAAUUUAAUGACCGAAUAUAGGGAUAAUUGAUUUGUUGUGUUUAUGUGUUGGGGCAUGAUAAUUAGCAUGCAAAUUGGUGUACUUAAAAUUGUUGCUUAUGUUUAAAAAUUGUUUAACGUGACUAUGGUAUAAUGCACAUAGGUUGGUAAUGUUUACAAAUGUAUUUGGCUGUAUAGUGAAGCUUGCCUAUGUUUUUUUUUAUUAUUUAUAUGCCUAAUAAGGUGUGUGAAAAGCUUAACCUAAGUAAAUGUGCGCAUAUGCAUAACAUACAAAUUGCUAUUUUUUUAUAAAUUAGUUAAUGAAUUGGGUUAGCCAUGAUUUGGUAUUUGAAUUUAGAAAUGGCUUCGUUUUAGAGUGUUAUGCGCAUGUAUAUAUGUCUUAUAAAAUGAUAUAUUUGAUGAUUAGUUAAAGAUAUGGAUUGUUAUGACUUAGUAUGCAUAUGUGCAUAGUUUAUAAAAUAGCAUGGCUAGAAGUUUGCUAAUGAAAUAAAUAUAUGCAACAGAUGAUUUGACAUAAGCUUAGUAAAUAUGAUGUAAUGAUAUAAGCUUGAAUAUAUUAUAAAUAUUUGAAUGGUAUGAAUAUGAUAGUAAAUAGGUUCGAAUAAUGGGUUUGUAAAGCAUGCAAUAUUUUAUUGAUGUAUGAUAGCUUGGUACAAAUUUUAAAAAGGUUAAGAGUAUUGAUUGAUUGAAUUUUAGAGUGCCAUGAUCUUGGGUCAUAAGGUUCGGCUAUUGGAGUUAUAUAGUAUAUGUAUUAUGAUAUGAUGUAUAUUAAUUGGGUCGAAUAGGUGAUUAAAUAAAUACUAUUGAUAUGUUUAAAUUUUAAAGCAUAAAUUGCUUAUGUAUUAAAAGUAGUAAAGCAUAAUUGGUUUUUAGUUGGUUAAGUGAUCUAUAUGUGCGAAUGUGAAUUAUAUGAUUUAGCUGCUAGUUAUUAUUCGAGUUUAAAAAUUUUCGGAUUGAGUUAAUAUAAUUUGUGCAUAAGUUAAAAUGAAAGACUGUUCUGAGUUGUGUUUUGGUCGGUAAUGCCUCGGGACCCUAAUCCAGCAACGGAUACAGGCUAGGAGUGUUACACUUUGUACCGGUGUUAUAUUUAUGGUUCAUGUGCAUACCAUGUUAAUAGAUAGUAUGGAAUGAUGUACUAACCUAUUUGGUUAUGUUGUGAAAGAUAUAAGGUGAUUAUGGAACGAUAAGUAUGUAUGUUAUUUGCAUUAAGUAAAUUAUGAAAUGCCAGGUACGUUGUGCUUAAAUUUUAUACGAACUUACUAAGCUUUAAGUAAGCUUAACUUGUUUCAUUUUCUUCCUUGUAGAUUGUCAGAUUCGUGUUAUCAAUUGGAUCAUCUUUGGAGAAUCACACUAUCUGUCAACUCUUUUGGUAGAUUUUUAUCCAUUUUGGAAUAGGUUAUAAAUGGCAUGUAAAUAGGUGUUUUGGUUUCAAAUGUACAUAUAUGCAAGUUGUGGGUUGAAAUAGUACAUGAAUGUUAAACUGGAAUUUUGGCUAAGUUGGUAGCUUUAUGGAUAUGAAAGUCUAUUUAUAUGAAAUUCUUUGAUCUUGCUCCAUAGGUUAUAAGGUACUAUGGAAUGGAUAGGUAUGGCAUGUAAAUACAUUAGAUGUUAUAUGUUUGAGCUCUUAUAUAACACUUUAUGUGAAGUAGAUUUUAAAUUGGUUAAGUUAGGUUAUGUGGUCCAUAAGGUAAGGUUAUGGCAAGUGUUUAUAAAUCUAUGUUUUGGUAUUUAAAAUGAUGAUUAUGUGAGAAUGUUUAGGUAUGUGAUUUUUGGUAUGAAUGAUGAUGAAUGUGUGAUUGUAAAUGGUUCAAUUGAGGUGCCAAGUGUGGCAUAUUGGUUAGGCACUUAGGAUGGAUGUUUUAAGGUGUGGUUUUGGAAUAUAUUUUUAUGUUUUUGAUCAGAUUGAUUAAUGGUUAAAUGCUUACUUGUGGCUUAAGUGAACCUAGGAUGUUGUUACUUGGUUUAGAAGGUAUUUUAGGUGCACACAGUCUAAUACACAGUCUGCCACAGGAUAGUGUGCCAUACAUGGGCAUAUGGCAUGGCUAUGUGGUCUAUUUAAUUUAGGUGCUAAUUGGUCCACACAGCUACAGUUUGUUACACGGCCUGGCAACACAGCCAUGUGACCCAGUCUUACAUGGCUUUAGUUUGUUUCACGGCUUAGACAUACAACCAUGUCUUCUAGCAUCAUAGGGCAUCAGCCUGUCACAUGGCCUGGCCACCCUACAGUGUGACCCAUGUUUUUACUUUUUACUUAUUAUUUCAUAAAAGUUUCAAAUUAGUCAUGAUUUGUUUUCGAGUUGGUUUAAAAGCUUCGUAAGCUCAAUUAAGGCUCGGUUGUGGUUGUAAAUCAUAUUACAAUGAUGCGGUUGAAUGCUUGAUGUUUUAAUUUGAUAUUUAAGUUGAAUUCUUGGAUGAUAGAUGUUGUUAACUGUUGUAACAUCUUGUAGCUCGGGUCCAAAAAUCGAACCAGGUUAGGUGUGUUACAUUACAAGUUUAUUAAAGUUCAAUGGUUAAUACUAUGUCGUGCUACUGGACGUGUCCGACAAUUUUCUAAACUUCACCAUUGACUUCAACCAUCGUUCACGACCAUCGUUGCCCUUCCAAUUGAUUCCACUUCUUCUGGGAUCUCGCCAUUUAUCACAUUUCUUCGUAGUUUGGUUUCUUACACGAACACAACUGAAGAGAUAUCCUCGAUUGAGGCUGUUAUAGGUUAAAUUGAAUAAGGCAUAACAUUCCUCCCCUAUUGAUUCCUCAUUUUGGGAAUUGAGGUUGCAUUUGAAAGCUUCUAUUUUGUCAUCGAUUUUUAUAAUAACCUCAUUUUGCUCGAGAUCGAUAGUCGAUUUAAAAGUGGCAAAAAAUGGCCUACCCAAUAGAAUGGGGAUUUCCUAAUUUUCCCUAAAGUUAAGGACUACAAAGUCUAAGUUCAUGUAAUAGCCCGAAUUUGGGCCUAGUCGAAACAGUGGUUUCGGGACCACAAAUGUAAUAUUUUGAAAAUUUCUACAGUAAUAUAUUAUCCUUGGUAUAGUAAAAUAAGGAAAUAAAGUAACAAAAAGGGAAAUUUUGAGUUAUGUCAACAUUGAGAAGUAUAUUAUGACAUAUUAAUGCAAGGAAGGAUUAAAUCGCAAAAGUGACAAAAGUAUUGUUGCAUAAGAGUAAAUACUCAAAAUUUGAGGGGUUAAAGUGUAAAUAUGAAAAAGUUGAAGGACCAAAGGUGUAAAUAUUUUAAGGGUGGAAUGAUCUAGAAACUAAGGAAAAUGGAUGAAUUAGGACCAAAUUGAAUAAGAUAAGAAUUAUGAGGGACUAAAUCGUAAUUUUACCAAAUUAAGUGUGACUCAAUGAUGGAAUUUUAAAAGAUUAUGAAGGGCAAAAUGGUCAAUUAGAAGAGAGAGAAAUCUAGAAGGCGAUGAUGAUGUUGGUGAUAUUUUAGAUUAAUUAAUUAAAUAAAUAUUAGUUUGUUAAUAUUUUAAUAUGAUUUUUAAAUGAUAUUUUAUUAAUUUCUUAUUAUUCUAUUUAGUAUAUAUAAGAAAGGAAAGAUGAGGAAUUAUCAUCUUCUUCCCCAUGCAACCAACGUAUGAAGAGGAAAGAAAGAAAGAAACUUUCUUUUCUUUACAAUUUGGUUCUUUUAUAAAAAAUUCACCAUUUUCACUUAGAAAUCAAAAGAAUUUCCAUAUCCAUCAAGAGAGAAAUAUAACAAGGAGACUAUGGUGAGCUAGAAUAUCAAGUUAGAUUCAAGAAAUAGAAGCUGGAGGAGAGAGAAAAUCAAGUUAAAGAUUGAAAUGGUAAGAACAUCAAGAUUUCAAUAUAUUUUUGAGUUUGAUAUUAUUGAAAAGGUAUGAAAUUGAUGUUAAUGUAGAGUUUAUUAUAUAAGGGUUUAUGUUAUUGGUAUGUUAGUGAAGAGAAAAUAAGAGAAAGUGAUGAGAAAUAAUGUAGAGAAAGAAAAUAAGAGUGUUAUAAACUUAGUAAUCAAUAUUUUACACUAAAACAGUUUGGACAGCAGCAGUAGGUUAACUUUGAAAAAUCACCAAAAAUUGUGGGAAUUUAAUUAGAAGAUGAAUAAAAUAUGAAAUUAAAUCUUAUUGAGUCUAGUUUCUCAUAGAAGAAACGGUGUAAGUAAUAGAAUUGUAAAUCAUGAGAUAUAAUAAAUUUUGUGAGACAAUGUCAGAAUGAUUUCGGGUUCCCCUGUUCUGACUUUGGAAAAUCAUCAAAAAUUGAAGAAAAAUAAUUAUGAGUUAUAAUUUAUAUGAUUAGAAUACUUAAUGAAUACAUUUUCAAAUUAAAUAAACGAAACAUCAUCCAAAUUCUGUACAAUUAGAUAAUUCAUUUUUAGUGAAGAGUGGUCGGAACUGUCAGACAGCAAAAUAGGGGAAACUUUAAAAAAUAAACUGUACUAUUUGGCUGAACCAAAAAUUCUGAAAAUUUUAUGGCAAGAAUAUAUGUGAGUCUAGUUUCAGGGAAAAUUAACGGAUCUUAAUUUGGAUUUCUGUAGCUCAAGAUAUAAAUGAUUUAGUGACUAUGACUCAAAUGGACAGCUUUGAAUAAAUUUACAAGAAAAUAGUGAAAUUAUAGAUAAUGUUACUUAUAAGCAUGUUAUGUAAAUUAAGGAUGUGGAAUGGAGAGGAGGAGGAGGAAAAUAAAUUUAUGAAUAUUAUGCUAGCAUGGAUUUUCAUUUCAAAUGGUUAAUUUGCAUGAUUUGGGCUCGAGGACUAAAUUGAAUAAAAGUAAAACUUUAGGGGCAAUUUUGGAAAAAUGUCAAAAAUGGCCAAAUUGCAUGAAAUGAAUUGUUUUAUUAUUUAAAUUACUAAAUUGAAUGAAAUAUUAAUUUAGAUCAAUAUUGGGUGGAAAUUCGAGAAAAAUAGAAAUUUUUCAAAAUGUCCCCGAAUUUUGGUAUUUCUGCAAUUUAGCCUGGUAAGUUCGUAUGAACUAUAUUUUGUAUAAUUUUAAUUGAAUUGAAUGCUAUUUGGUAAUGAAUAUUAUAUAUAUGUGUGUUUGGAAUUGAAUUAUUAUUGGAUGUUUUGAAAUGAUUAUCGAAAGCUCAAUUGGGUUGGAGAUAUAUCACAUUAUCCAUUGGUUCUAUCGGAAAUUUUGGAUGAUUUGAUUCUGGUUAUUGUAUAAGUUAAAUUGGUUAAUGUUAGCUCAUAAAUGUUUUGAUUUUGAUUGGUUAUAAAUAUGAAUGCUUGAUGAAAUAAAAUGUCUGAAAAUUAUUUGUAAACUCUGGUAAUGCUCUAUAACCCUAUUCUGGGGAAGGAUACGCAUUAGGGGUGUUACAGUUUAAAUACUUAAGGAACCGAAAGCUAAUGUGUUGGGUAUAUGACUUCUACAAUAUGUAGCAUAAUUUACAAUAGUAGAAUUCAUAGCCCAACUAAAUAGGUAAGUGAUAUCCUCUCACAGACAUGACAUGAUAGAUGAAAAGUAAAAGUUAUCACGGGUUGUUUAUCUUUGUGAUAAAGGACUUUAUUACUAUUUGAUAGUAAUUGACUUUUCAUGAAGGAACAUGUAAUGGUUACAAUGAGAUAAAAUAAGAUCAUAUUGGGAGAACAGAUUUAUCCCAAUGAGAUUAAGGAUAUCCUAUGAGGGUAACACACUUAUGACAAGGUCAUUGAACGAACACUGAUUAAGUAGCUUUCGUAAUGGUAAGUAAUUAGGGCUAGCCCAGUCACGAUACUAUAGUGGAACGACUUCGUGAUUAAAUGAGUUUAUAAUUAAUAGGCGAAAAGCUGAAAUUUAAUUAUAAAUCAUUUGAGCAUUAAUUCAUAUGUCCAAUCGGUCCAUCUGCAAGCUUGUUGAAACUGAAAAUGAAUUGUAUGUAGAAUCAAAUAAAUAGAAAUGGAUGAAAAUGAUAAAGAUAAAGAAAUGAGUUAUAUUCGCAAAUGAUAAAUUUUCCCCUCAUAUUAUUAUACUAGUAACCAAGUGAGGCAUAAAUGUUAUAUUGAUCAGUUCAAAAGUUUUUCAAACUCGUACUUUUGUAUAGACUAAAUUUCUUUCUCACAUGUGAAUAAACACAUUUAUUUUGUUUAUAAUAAUAAUUCAUAAUAAGUACAAAAUAUAUUUAGAUUAAAUAUGAAAAUUAUUUAUAUUAAAUUAAUAAACAGAUUUAAUAAUAGUUAAAAAUAGGCUUUUUUACAAAAAAAUAAUUAAUUACAAAAAUAAAUUGAAGGAAAAACUAUUUAUGAAAUUGAGAUUUUAUUUUUAUCAACUUUUUGUUUUGGUAACAAAUUUUUUUUUUUCAAAAGGGUUCUAAUGGCACUCAUUUAAAUUUUUUUCAUUUUUUUCUCCCAUCAUAUAUACACGUGAAAAUAUAAGUAUUUUAAAAAGUAGACAUUGAUGUUACCUGACGCAAUGGUAAGAUCAAUAAAAAUUUCAUCUUUUGUCCGAAAAGUUGGAUGGUGCCGCCAAAAUUAAGCCAAAUUUACUUUGUUUAUAUUGAAUAAAACGUGUUAUAUAGUGUGUGGAGCCCGUAGCCUUCACGGUUUGGAAAAUACGGAGAAAGUUUCGUGCUGGAUUCAUCCCCCUCAAACUAGAAGCGUCAUUCAUUCAUUCUUAUCCGCCCAACUUUUAUCCCUUGUGUUGUGACACAAUGUUUUUAAAAAAAAAAUAGAAAAUAUCUUAACCUUUUAUUUUAUAUUAUUUUUCAAAUCACUUAAAAUAAUACAAAAAUUAAUAAUUAACUUUACUAUGUGACAUAUAUGUGAAUUAUAACAUUAAUAAUUAAUUAAUUUUUUAAAAUUAUAAAAAAUACUUUAAAAAUUUUUAUUUUUUAAAAAUUAAUAAAAAGUUAAUACAACAUAUACAUGUCAAUCUACGUGUAUUCCACAUCAUUGUAAUUAAUAAAUAUUAACCAACUAUUAAGCCAAAUUUUACAAAUUUUUUUAUAAUUUUAUAAUAAUUUAUUAAUUAAAACCGUAUUUAUAAUUGAAAUGAGGAACCAAAAUUCCACCACAAUACUUCUCUUGACCCUAAACGAAUACUCGAACAAUCAUGACCACACUUACAGGAUUACAACGAAACAGAAUGGAAAUUCUUGAGGUGACCGAAGUUGCCCCAAUCUCUAACUCACCAGAAUCAAAGACUAAAUUCCGUCUUCCACUCACUUUCUCCGACAUAUUCUGGUUCAAGCUUCCUCCUGUUGAGCGCCUCUUCUUUUACCAACUCGACGACUUAACCCCUGCCUGUUUCAACUCAGUUAUCCUCCCAAAACUCAAGCGCUCUCUUUCUCUCACACUCGUCCAUUACCUCCCCCUCGCUGGCAAUCUCAAGUGGCCACCAAUCGAACCUAAACCCAUCAUUUUAUACACUCCAAACGAUGGAGUUUCCCUCACAGUUGCCCACUCCGAUGCCGACUUUAACAUCCUCUCCAGCGACGGGGUCUAUGAUGCUGCUGAGUUGCAUCCUCUCAAACCUGACCUCGUAACUUCAGAUGUUUCGGCAUCAGCUAUAGCUGUGCAAGUAACCCUGUUCCCAAAUAAGGGGUUCUGCAUAGGAAUCACAGCUCACCAUGCAGUUCUUGAUGGCCAAACCACAACCAUGUUCAUCAAAUCUUGGGCUCAUAUAUGCAAGCAAGGCAACGACGAGAACUCACCCUUGCCACCUGAGCUAACACCAUUUUUCGACAGGUCUGUUAUCAAAGGUCCUGAUGGACUUGACAUGUUAUAUUUGAACCAGUGGCUAGCUAGUAGCGGGUUAGAUUCAGAUACAAGUAAGAAAAGCCUGAAAAUCACAAGUGCAGGAGGAGGAGCAGCAUCAGAUCUAGUUCGAGCAACGUUUGAGAUUACUCGUGAAGAUUUCAAAAAGUUAAGGGAAAGGGUGUUACCUAAACUACCAGAUAGUGGGAAAGAAAUGCAUCUAUCAACUUUUGUGCUUUCGUUUGCUUAUGUAACAACUUGCAUGGUGAAAGCUAGAGGAGGAGAUGGAGAUAGAAAAGUUGCUUUCGCAUUCACAGCUGAUUGCAGGCCACGAUUAAACCCUCCUGUCUCACAAAAC